Molecule: ribosomal RNA, 775 nt
Filed under: uncultured Neocallimastigales
Lineage: Eukaryota; Fungi; Neocallimastigomycota; Neocallimastigomycetes; Neocallimastigales
Description: partial large subunit ribosomal RNA
Rfam family: Eukaryotic large subunit ribosomal RNA
Source: RNAcentral
CGUCUAUAUACGUAUAGCAUAUCAAUAAGCGGAGGAAAAGAAACUAACUAGGAUUCCCUCAGUAACGGCGAGUGAAGCGGGAAGAGCUCAAAUUUGAAAUCUUCAAGGUUCUACCUUGACGAAUUGUAGUUUAAAGAAGUGUUUUCUGUUGAAGUUUUGGUAAAAGUUCUUUGGAAUAGGACAUCAUAGAGGGUGAGAAUCCCGUAUUUGACCAUUAUUUUCAGCUGUGUGAUACACUUUCAAAGAGUCGGAUUGUUUGGGAAUGCAGUCCAAAAUGGGUGUUAAAUUUCAUCUAAAGCUAAAUACUGGCGAGAGACCGAUAGCGAACAAGUACCGUGAGGGAAAGAUGAAAAGAACUUUGAAAAGAGAGUUAAACAGUACGUGUAAUUGUCAAAAGGGAAGCGUUUGACACCAGUGUUGUUUUCUCGAAAAUCAAUUAAAAAUGGUGGGAUGUUGUGUUGUAUUGACUUUAUCAGCUUUCUGCACUUUUUUUCCUAUCUUUUUUAAUGCACUUUUCGUUUAACAAGUCAACAUCAAUUUCUUUUGUUGUAAAAGAGUCAUCGGAAGGUGGCUUUCUUUUCGGAGAAAGUGUUUAUAGCCUUUGACUUCUGCAAUCGGAGAGAUUGAGGUCUGCAGCGUAGAUCCUUCGGGGUUAGAUGCAUUUGUGCUAAGCUAUAGCCUUUCAUAGACAACUUGUUAACUAUGAUCAGUCAUGUAGCUUACUCGCUUAUGUCAUUUUACCUACGCUUAGGAUGUUGACACACGCGCGUGCUCG